UGGGGAAUUUUGUGCAAUGCCCGAAAGGGUGACGCAGCGACGCCGCGUGAAUGAAGAAGGUCUUCGGAUCGUAAAGUUCUUUCGACAGGGAAGAAAUUUAUUGCGAGUAACUGCGCAGUAAUUGACGGUACCUGUAUAAGCAGUCCCGGCUAACUCCGUGCCAGCAGCCGCGGUAAUACGGAGGGGACAAGCGUUGUUCGGAGUGACUGGGCGUAAAGAGCACGUAGGCGGUAUCCUAAGUCAGAUGUGAAAGACCAGGGCUCAACCCUGGGGUUGCAUACGAUACUGGGGAACUAGAGUGCAGGAGAGGAAAGUGGAAUUCCUAGUGUAGCGGUGAAAUGCGUAGAUAUUAGGAGGAACACCAGUGGCGAAGGCGGCUUUCUGGACUGUAACUGACGCUGAGGUGCGAAAGCCAGGGUAGCAAACG
RNAcentral lists this ribosomal RNA (427 nucleotides) under uncultured bacterium. RNAcentral describes it as "bacterial SSU rRNA". It matches the Rfam family "Bacterial small subunit ribosomal RNA", at positions 355 to 774 of the family's 1533-position model. The record is from RNAcentral.